Molecule: long non-coding RNA, 2677 nt
Organism: Sorex araneus (European shrew)
Lineage: Eukaryota; Metazoa; Chordata; Mammalia; Eulipotyphla; Soricidae
Exons: 3
Source: RefSeq, a predicted model, not a curated record
GGGGACUGCUCAGGACCCUGAACGAAAGAGGACCCCGAAACCUUUGCCCUGGACAAACCGGAAAAUUCCAUUACCAGCUUUGCUUGCCUGAGGCACAGGUGCCCUUGUGACAAAGGAAAUAGCCAAACUCAAGAGGUCGGAACCGCUCACAGAACCCACCCAAUUAGGAGCGCUUUCCACUGUUGUCUCUCCGCGGGCCGGAGAGAUCUCCGGGGGAAAGCGCAACUGGCGCCCAGCGUGGAUUCGUGAGAAAGGUCACCGAUCGGACGGCAGAGCGACGAGUCCGGAGCCACUCAUAAGACAUCAGAUGACACCUACUAAUGUACUCCUGGUCCUGCUAUGGCUUCAUCUGGAGUGAACUUCAUCCUCCUGGUACUGACCCAGACUCCACAACCCACAAGGUCCUGCCGACCUGACUGCUGCGGUUCGCGACCUCGCUGACCCUGCCCAGGACGCCGUGACCCCCGACUCUCCUGUCCACCAUGACGGGGCUCAUGCUUCCACCUCCCCUGCCCCCUUAUCUCCCCUUUCCCCAUCUCCUUCUGAUUUUUAGCCCCCCUCCUUUUUUUGGGUAUCUCCCUUGUUUCCUCCCAGAUUUUUAAUUUUACUUGGCAAGUCCUUAAUGAAGCGGGCGAUGUUGUCAAUUCCACUUCCAUUUUGCUUCCACUACACCCUGGCCCGAGCUCUGGGGUUGACCUCUGCGCCCUCCCAAUGCCCAGCAGUUUCUGGUCUCUCCCUGAUUACGCUGGCGGCCACGCGCCCAAAGCCAUUCCUGGCCAUGGUGUCAUUUCUGAAUGCUCCACCCGCCGCCACCGCCAGAAACUUCUCUCCGACCCCAUCUACGUUUGCCCUGGCGGCCGCCAUAGGCUACACCUCUCUUGCCCGCACUUGUGGCGAUCGCCCUGAUAUUUUUUGUGCCACCUGGGGCUGCGAGACCACGGGCGACACCUAUAGGAAACCUUCCUCCCCCUGGGACUUUAUCACGAUCCGAUGAGCACCUCACAGGCCCUCUGUCGAUUGCAACCGUGCGUGUAAUUUCCUCACCAUCCAAUUCACUUCUGCUGGCAAACGGCAUCCCUGGUCCAAUACUUUGCCCUGGGCUCUUCGCCUGUAUCACCUCGGCUAUGAUAAAGGCUUCACCUUCUCCCUUCGCCUUCUAAAAACUGCCCUCUCCUCACGCCCUAUUUCCAUGGGCCCCAACAACACCCUUCACCAUCAUCGCCCCCCUACCCCCCGUCGCUACCCACCGGCGCCCUCCGGGACCCCGCCACCCACAUCCUUCUUCCGUCCUACUCUGCCUGCGGGUCCAGCACCCUCUUCUCAGCCCAUCCUGGAUAUGGUCAACGCCUCUGCUACCGCCAUCACCGACCCCGCCUAUGACCAAUGCUGGAUCUGCUACUCCUCUCAACCGCCAUUCUACGAAGGCAUUGCUGUCCUCCGCUCUCCAUUGAACGUCUCUGACACCAACGAACUCCGCUGGGAAGUGGGGCCCACGCACCGAUUGACUUUGGGACAUGUGGUGGGAUCCGGACUUUGCCUAUUGGGGCCCAAUAUGCUCCCCCCGUAUGAUUUAGUACCCGUUUGCAAUCAGACUCUUGUUAUAUCCAAUUCCUCCCUCUGCGUUAAUGCCACCUUCUAUCCGUCCUAAGUCGUGGCCCCCGCUGAUACCUACUUCGCCUGUUCCUCUGGCCUGACUACUCACAUUGUUACAUCUGCCUUCCUAGCACAUAGAGAUUACUGCAUUUUGGUUCUGCUUUUGCCACGCCUCACGGUUCGCCCUGCCGAUGCCCUGCUCUUCUCUUCUUCCUCUCUCCUGCGCCACCGCCGUGAGCCUGUUACUGCCAUCACCUUUGCCCUCCUUCUCAGUCUGGGUGCUCCAGGCGCCGAUACGGGCAUCUACUCCCUUGUCUCCUCUAGGAAAACUUCCACCAACUGUCCCUUGCUGUGGAGGCUGAUGUCCUCGAACUUAAACAGGGCCUUAACUACCUAACUGACACUGUUGGCUCUCUGGCUGAGGUCGUCCACCUUAACAGACACAGCCCUGACCUGGCCUUUUUGAGAGAGGGGGGAGUAUGUGCCACUCUUUAGGAGGAAUGCUGUUUCUUUAAAGAUAAGCUUGGGCUAGUUAAGGAUAGCAUUAGAUGAGUGGAAGAAAACUUAGAGGAAAGUAAAAGAUUGAGAGACCAGGAGGAAUCUUGGUAUAAAAAUUGGUUCUCCACCUCACCCUGGCUCUCGACCCUGUUGCCUAGCCUCCUUGGACCCUUCAUUGGGUUCUUACUGCUAGUUUCCUUUGGCCCAUGGGCAUUCCGCCGACUCAUAAAUUUCAUUAAGAACCAGGUUGAUGAGGCAACCAAACGUUCAGUACAGGUCCACUCUCAGCAGCUCUCCCAACACGACCCCGAAGGGCUGGAUAGCUUGGAAAAGCCCACACUUCAGCCCCUGAACUUUGCGGAGUUCGAGCACCUGGCAUACAGCCCCUGCUCACUCUGUUCCCGGCUGUGGAAAUGCCUAAGACGGGGAUAGCUUGGUGCCAGUAUCUGGGUGCAAACAUGGCACCACCUACAGUCGUGCGCACAUUUUUCUAACCCUUUUGGUCACUGCCAUGUCCAGAACUGGGAGCCCACUAAGUAACCUAAGACAGGCACUCCACCCACUCGCUCAUUUUUAAUAUAGAAAA